This 587-nucleotide ribosomal RNA is filed under the name Aureobasidium melanogenum. RNAcentral's name for it is "eukaryotic LSU rRNA". It matches the Rfam family "Eukaryotic large subunit ribosomal RNA", at positions 50 to 652 of the family's 3401-position model. Lineage: Eukaryota; Fungi; Ascomycota; Dothideomycetes; Dothideales; Saccotheciaceae. The record is from RNAcentral.
GCGGAGGAAAAGAAACCAACAGGGAUUGCCCUAGUAACGGCGAGUGAAGCGGCAACAGCUCAAAUUUGAAAGCUGGCCUUCGGGUCCGCAUUGUAAUUUGUAGAGGAUGCUUUGGGUGAAACGCCAGUCUAAGUUCCUUGGAACAGGACGUCAUAGAGGGUGAGAAUCCCGUAUGUGACUGGAAACGUUAACCUAUGUAAAGCUCCUUCGACGAGUCGAGUUGUUUGGGAAUGCAGCUCUAAAUGGGAGGUAAAUUUCUUCUAAAGCUAAAUAUUGGCGAGAGACCGAUAGCGCACAAGUAGAGUGAUCGAAAGAUGAAAAGCACUUUGGAAAGAGAGUUAAAAAGCACGUGAAAUUGUUGAAAGGGAAGCGCUUGCAAUCAGACUUGUUUAAACUGUUCGGCCGGUCUUCUGACCGGUUUACUCAGUUUGGACAGGCCAGCAUCAGUUUCGGCGGCCGGAUAAAGGCUCUGGGAAUGUGGCCUUCACUUCGGUGAAGGUGUUAUAGCCCAGGGUGUAAUACGGCCAGCCGGGACUGAGGUCCGCGCUUCGGCUAGGAUGCUGGCGUAAUGGUUGUAAGCGACCCGU